AUUGAACGCUGGCGGAAUGCUUUACACAUGCAAGUCGAACGGCAGCACGGACUUUGGUCUGGUGGCGAGUGGCGAACGGGUGAGUAAUGUAUCGGAACGUGCCCAGUCGUGGGGGAUAACGUAGUGAAAAUUACGCUAAUACCGCAUACGAUCUAUGGAUGAAAGCGGGGGAUCGCAAGACCUCGCGCGAUUGGAGCGGCCGAUAUCAGAUUAGGUAGUUGGUGGGGUAAAGGUCCACCAAGCCAACGAUCUGUAGCUGGUCUGAGAGGACGACCAGCCACACUGGAACUGAGACACGGUCCAGACUCCUACGGGAGGCAGCAGUGGGGAAUUUUGGACAAUGGGCGAGAGCCUGAUCCAGCCAUUCCGCGUGCAGGAUGAAGGCCCUCGGGUUGUAAACUGCUUUUGUACAGAACGAAAAGGUUUCUACUAAUACUAGGAGCUCAUGACGGUACUGUAAGAAUAAGCACCGGCUAACUACGUGCCAGCCGCCGCAGUAA
Molecule: ribosomal RNA, 500 nt
Filed under: uncultured bacterium
Lineage: Bacteria
Description: partial 16S ribosomal RNA
Rfam family: Bacterial small subunit ribosomal RNA
Source: RNAcentral